RNAcentral lists this long non-coding RNA (240 nucleotides) under Homo sapiens (human). RNAcentral describes it as "HSALNT0092872". The record is from RNAcentral. Lineage: Eukaryota; Metazoa; Chordata; Mammalia; Primates; Hominidae.
AGAACAGUGCCAGGAAAGGCCUUAGAGAAGCUGGCAUGUGACCUGAAGCCCAGAUGAGAAGGAGCCAGCCAGACCAAGGGCUGGGGGAAGAGUGGUCCAGGCAGAGCGAAGAGCAAGUGCAGCAGCCCUGGGGUCUGCAUCCAAGAGGAGAGGAUGUGCCCCAUCGAAAGGGAACAGCUGCCACCCAGCUCCAGUCAACUGUUUCCAUGCAGGAAUGUGGGGCCAAUGCUGUAAGAUCUC